CCUCCUUUCUUCCUCCUUGCGGCAUCUUGGUCAAUGGACGAGAGUCUGAACCAGCCAAGUAGCGUGAAGGAUGACUGCCCUAUGGGUUGUAAACUUCUUUUAUAUGGGAAUAAAACAGGGUAUGCAUACCCUCUUGUAUGUACCAUAUGAAUAAGGAUCGGCUAACUCCGUGCCAGCAGCCGCGGUAAUACGGAGGAUCCGAGCGUUAUCCGGAUUUAUUGGGUUUAAGGGGAGCGUAGGUGGAUUGUUAAGUCAGUUGUGAAAGUUUGCGGCUCAACCGUAAAAUUGCAGUUGAAACUGGCAGUCUUGAGUACAGUAGAGGUGGGCGGAAUUCGUGGUGUAGCGGUGAAAUGCUUAGAUAUCACGAAGAACUCCGAUUGCGAAGGCAGCUCACUGGACUGCAACUGACACUGAUGCUCGAAAGUGUGGGUAUCAAACAGGAUUAGAUACCCGAGUAGUC
RNAcentral lists this ribosomal RNA (460 nucleotides) under uncultured bacterium. Its description in RNAcentral is "partial 16S ribosomal RNA". It matches the Rfam family "Bacterial small subunit ribosomal RNA", at positions 61 to 795 of the family's 1533-position model. The record is from RNAcentral.